RNAcentral lists this long non-coding RNA (662 nucleotides) under Ananas comosus (pineapple). Its description in RNAcentral is "long non-coding RNA (ACOM_LNC012952)". Lineage: Eukaryota; Viridiplantae; Streptophyta; Magnoliopsida; Poales; Bromeliaceae. The record is from RNAcentral.
UAAAAAAAAUAGAUUUAAAAUUUUGACAUUAUUUCAAAAUUUUGAUGUAAAUAUUUAAUAUUUAAUAUUUAAUUUGAAUUUAAAUUAAUAUAUUAUAAAGAUAAUGUUAGUAUAUUAAUUUGAUUAUGUUUUUAUAUUCAUCUGAACCAAACACUGACAAUGGAAAUGAUUUAUUUCGAUUCUGAUUCAGUUGAUGAACCAAAUGGAAUUAGGUAAUGAGUCAUUCCGAUUCCGAUUCCAGCUUAUUUUGAUUCCGAUUCCGAUUCCGACUCCAACUUCGAACCAAACACGCCCAUAGAGUUAGACUGGGCUACUAUUAGUAGCAAAAUUCCAUUGUUGCUACUAGUUUUUUAGCCUUUGGAUCAACUCUUUUCAUCAUUUGUAACCAUUGAAUUAAAUACUAUAACCCAGUGGGGACCACUCAACCCUAGGGGGACCACUCAACUCUAACUAACUAAUAUCAUCCUAACCUUACAAUUUUUCAUCCAAGGGUUAAAAACUUGAUAGCAAAAAGAGGGUUUUACUAUUAAUAGUAUUCCAGUCUAAUUAUAUAUAUAUAUAUAUNAUUGAGUGAUUUUAGUCAAGUUAUAAUUUAAUGAUUUUAAAAAGUUGUUAGUUAAAAAAAUUGUAAUACUUAAUGGUUAAUCGAUUAUGAAAAGUUU